GUUGAAAUGAGUGAGGCCCAUAAUAGGUCCAUCCAGUGAGCAAAUGCGUCAAUCCACAAAGGAUUAUAAAAGCUAUAAACUGAAGGAGGACCCAUUUAAAUGGAAAGUUGGAGCAGCUAACAAAGUAAAGAAGUUCGAUAGGUAUUGAAAAAUACGCUAUUGCAAUCAAGAAAUCACUGACCCUCUGACUCUCCAGAAUGCUAUGUAUGCUCCAAAAACCCCAUCGCAGUUACAAUUAACAAACUCGUUGUCAAGGGCAGAGACCGAGAUCAUAAUAUAUGAUAUCAGAAAGAAUAUUCCAGGAGCUAAUGCUCUUAACAUUGCACCCAAGUCAACACUUGCUCAACACAUUCUUGUCAAAGUUCCUCAAUCUUAGAAACCCCUUAGAUUCUAGAAUUCAUAGUAGCAGAAAAACAGGAGAAGACUACUCUGGCAUGGCCUCAAAAACCAUCAAUUAUUGUAAAACCACCAGAAGUAGUUGAAGAUCCAAAAUACUCACCUUUAUUUUUCAGUAUAAAAUAACAACAGUAACUUCUAGAUUUCAAGAUCUUGCACAACGACCUGACAAAAACUCCAUAAUUCCAC
Molecule: unclassified non-coding RNA, 585 nt
Filed under: Hevea brasiliensis (rubber tree)
Lineage: Eukaryota; Viridiplantae; Streptophyta; Magnoliopsida; Malpighiales; Euphorbiaceae
Source: RNAcentral